RNAcentral lists this long non-coding RNA (718 nucleotides) under Ananas comosus (pineapple). RNAcentral's name for it is "long non-coding RNA (ACOM_LNC038989)". The record is from RNAcentral. Lineage: Eukaryota; Viridiplantae; Streptophyta; Magnoliopsida; Poales; Bromeliaceae.
CUAGCUUAAAUUAUGAGAUCUCACCUUAGACCACCAUUCACAUCAAGCUAAAUCCACUAUUGGAAAGCUUGCUUCCACCAUUAGAGAGAGCUUCAACUUCAAGCUACUCUAAUCUUCUCCAAGCUUGCUUCAAUUUUUCUUUCUUUUCUUCUCCAAUCCUCUCUUUGGUGUAGAGAGAGAUUUUUCUCUUUGCUUGUGAGUGUGAAUAAUGAGAGGAAAGAAAGCCCAAGUCCUAUAUAUACAUAGAGAGGAAACUUGCUCUCCAAGUUUCCUAUGAAGCCUCCAAAAACACUAUUCACUCCAGGCAACUUAAAAUCUGAUAUCUUUCGCCGGAGCUCCCAGAGUAUCCGUUUGAGCUCAAAUUUGACAGUCAUAUUCGGUUUAAUGUACUGAACAAGAAUAUACUUUAAGUUUUCAGUUUCGACCCCGUUUGGUCACCGAAAACUAUACCAAACUAUAAUCUUUAUCAGAUAGAUUUCGGAUUUUAUUUCUCAACUUUCGGGUGUCAGAAAAAUAUGAAACUUUAAAUCUAGCCUCAUAAAAAUAUUUCUGACUUAUCCUCCAAUUUUCAUAAUUUUCUGACACUAUGCAUUUUCUGCUAAUUUAUCCGCCCCGUUUUCAACAGAAAAUUAUAAAUCUUCUGUUUUCAUUCCGAUUUCAACAAAAGUCAUUAUAGACUUAUAUUUUAUUUUUCGAAACCCAAUAAAAAUAGUAUCUA